This 248-nucleotide ribosomal RNA is filed under the name uncultured bacterium. RNAcentral's name for it is "partial 16S ribosomal RNA". It matches the Rfam family "Bacterial small subunit ribosomal RNA", at positions 524 to 768 of the family's 1533-position model. The record is from RNAcentral.
UACGGAGGGGGCUAGCGUUGUUCGGAAUUACUGGGCGUAAAGCGCACGUAGGCGGCUUUGCAAGUUAGAGGUGAAAGCCCGGGGCUCAACUCCCGGAAUUGCCUUUAAAACUGCAUCGCUAGAAUUGUGGAGAGGUAAGUGGAAGUUCCGAGUGUAGAGGUGAAAUUCGUAGAUAGUUCGGAAGAACACCAGUGGCGAAGGCGACUUACUGGACACAUAUUGACGCUGAGGUGCGAAAGCGUGGGGAG